CCACGCCGUAAACGAUGGAUACUAGGUGUGGGAGGUAUUGACCCCUUCCGUGCCGGAGUUAACACAAUAAGUAUCCCACCUGGGGAGUACGGCCGCAAGGUUGAAACUCAAAGGAAUUGACGGGGGCCCGCACAAGCAGUGGAGUAUGUGGUUUAAUUCGAAGCAACGCGAAGAACCUUACCAAGUCUUGACAUCCCGAUGACCGGUGCAGAGAUGUGCCUUUUCUUCGGAACAUCGGAGACAGGUGGUGCAUGGUUGU
Molecule: ribosomal RNA, 259 nt
Filed under: uncultured bacterium
Lineage: Bacteria
Description: partial 16S ribosomal RNA
Rfam family: Bacterial small subunit ribosomal RNA
Source: RNAcentral